This 301-nucleotide ribosomal RNA is filed under the name uncultured bacterium. RNAcentral describes it as "partial 16S ribosomal RNA". It matches the Rfam family "Bacterial small subunit ribosomal RNA", at positions 509 to 809 of the family's 1533-position model. The record is from RNAcentral.
CAGCAGCCGCGGUAAUACGUAGGUGGCAAGCGUUGUCCGGAUUUAUUGGGCGUAAAGCGAGCGCAGGCGGUUUCUUAAGUCUGAUGUGAAAGCCCCCGGCUCAACCGGGGAGGGUCAUUGGAAACUGGGAAACUUGAGUGCAGAAGAGGAGAGUGGAAUUCCAUGUGUAGCGGUGAAAUGCGUAGAUAUAUGGAGGAACACCAGUGGCGAAGUCGGCUCUCUGGUCUGUAACUGACGCUGAGGCUCGAAAGCGUGGGGAGCAAACAGGAUUAGAUACCCGUGUAGUCCCUGUCUCUUAUAA